RNAcentral lists this ribosomal RNA (633 nucleotides) under uncultured bacterium. RNAcentral's name for it is "bacterial SSU rRNA". It matches the Rfam family "Bacterial small subunit ribosomal RNA", at positions 806 to 1444 of the family's 1533-position model. The record is from RNAcentral.
ACGAUGAUCACUAGGUGUUGGGGAAGCAAUUCCUUGGUACCGCAGCUAACGCGUGAAGUGAUCCGCCUGGGGAGUACGGCCGCAAGGUUAAAACUCAAAGGAAUUGACGGGGACCCGCACAAGCGGUGGAUGAUGUGGAUUAAUUCGAUGCAACGCGAACAACCUUACCUACCCUUGACAUGUCCGGAAGCCUGCUGAAAGGCGGGUGUGCUCGUAAGAGAACUGGAACACAGGUGCUGCAUGGCUGUCGUCAGCUCGUGUCGUGAGAUGUUGGGUUAAGUCCCGCAACGAGCGCAACCCUUGUCCUUAGUUGCUACGCAAGGGCACUCUAAGGAGACUGCCGGUGACAAACCGGAGGAAGGUGGGGAUGACGUCAAGUCCUCAUGGCCCUUAUGGGUAGGGCUUCACACGUCAUACAAUGGACGGUACAGAGGGUCGCCAACCCGCGAGGGGGAGCCAAUCCCAGAAAGCCGUUCGUAGUCCGGAUUGCAGUCUGCAACUCGACUGCAUGAAGUCGGAAUCGCUAGUAAUCGCGGAUCAGCAUGUCGCGGUGAAUACGUUCCCGGGUCUUGUACACACCGCCCGUCACACCAUGGGAGUGGGAUGUACCAGAAGUAGAUAGGCUAACCGCAA